UUGUUGUUCCCGUACUGUAACGUGUGGUCAAGUUUUCUUGGAUCAGCUCUAUAGCAUUUAGUGAUUUCAAUUUGUUGUUCAUCACGUUCAGCUAACAAAUUAUGAAAGCGGAGCUUAUAAUUAUCCCCGCUCCGGGGGCUGGUCAUCUGCUAUCCAUGGUUGAGCUCGCCAAGCUCAUUGUUAGUCGAGAUGCGCGAAUUCAUGUCAGCAUCCUGAUAAUUAGGCUCCCUUUUGAGUCCGGCGUUGAUGGUUUCAACAAAGAUGCUUCUGAAAAUGUAGCCUUUCUAGACGUCCCUGCUCUGGACGACAUCGCCCUGGCAGAGGUCAAGUCCCUGCCACGGAUAUCUUUCCUGGAUUCCUUCAUUGCGAAGCACGGGAGUGCGGUGAGAGAUGUGGUCUCAGCAAUUCUGAAGCGCUCCGAGUGCUCUAAGCUAUGUGGAUUUGUCAUUGAUAUGUUCUGCACCUCGAUGAUAGACGUGGCCAAUGAAUUCAAUGUCCCGGCUUAUGCGUUCUAUACUUCUGGCGCUGCUUUUCUUACGCUCAAAUUUUAUGUCCAAGCUCUCAAAGAUGUGGAAAGCAAGGAUAUAUACAAGUACAAGGAGUUGGAUGUUGAGAGGCUGGCUGUCUCGGGUUUUCUUAAUCCAGUUCCUGUCGAGGUUUUGCCUUCGGUGAUGCUGACAAAGGAUGGGUGUCCUGUGGUCAUUGCUGCAGCCCGAAGAUUACGGGAGACCAAGGCUAUUUUGAUCAACACGGUGUGGGAACUCGAAUCCCAUGCUAUUAAAUCCCUGGUUGAUGAUGCUAAAACCCCUGUUAUAUACCAUGUAGGCCCUGUAAUUAAUUUCAAGAGUGGCGAGGAGCCAUCGAAUGGCAGAACAUCAGGAGAGGAUGUUGUUUCCUGGUUGGACAGGCAGCCACCUAGCUCGGUAGUGUAUUUGUGCUUCGGGAGCAGUGGAAGCUUCGAUGGAGAACAAAUUGGAGAGAUAGCGCGUGCACUGGAGCUCAGUGGACAGCGUUAUUUGUGGUCUCUACGACGCCCGUCUCAAGGAAAGGAUCAAGUGGUAUUGCUACAAGAUUAUGAUGACUACAAUGAGGUGUUGCCCCAGGGGUUUUUAGAGAGGACAUCUGGAAAAGGGAAAAUUAUUGGAUGGGCACCGCAGUUGAGCAUCCUUUCCCAUCCAAGUGUGGGAGGAUUCGUGUCUCAUUGUGGAUGGAACUCUAUAUUAGAAAGUAUAUGGUGCGGUGUGCCAAUAGCCACUUGGCCUAUGUAUGCUGAGCAGCAAGUGAACGCGUUCCAGCUGGUGGUCGACUUGGGGUUAGCAGCCGAGAUUAAGAUGGAUUACAGAAAAGAUAGGGUUGCUGACAUGGAAUCAACGGGAGUAGUGAGUGCAGAAGAGAUAGAAAGGGGCAUAAGACGUGUGAUGGAUGGCGAGAGUGAAAUGAGAAAGAAAAUGAAGGAAUUGAAAGACGCCUGCAGGAAAGCCACUCAACCGGGUGGUUCAUCUUACACUUCACUUGGGGAGUUUAUCCAGGAUGUCACGAAUAGCAUCAGGGAAGGAGCUCUAAACUGAAUGAAUAAUACUUGCAAAGCUUUGAACUCGAGUUAUAACUAAACCACAUAUACAACUUGAGUUUCUGGCAAAUGUGGCACACUGUUUAUCUAGUUAUCCAUAUAUUCUGUAUAUGCUACCAAUGAAUAAGCAUGAGGUGAAUAUGUUUGCUUCAGUUCUUUCGUCCCAUGUCGGAUACUUCACAUGUUUCUAACUAUUCUUGUUGUUUAAAAAUCAAUAAAAGAAGUAAACAGGUAGUGGUUGUGAAAGGUUAGGAUGGAAAACGAAACGGAAUGUAAAACUUUUACUAAUUUUUAGAUUUCGUUGUAGGCUCUUUGGCCACCCAGAGAGUUUGUUUCCAGGUAAUUUUGUGUAAAUUUCAAACAUAGGUGCUCGAAGCCAAACAUUCAGAUAUGUUAACUUUAUAUUUACUAGAUUGAGUUACACAAGCUAUCCUUUCUUCUCAUCUUUUAAAUUAAAAAUGCAAAUUUUUGGUUAAUUAGUCAGCAAUCUAAUCUUGCAAUUAAAAAUUUAGAAUCAACAGAAUAUGGCUAGCACAGCUUGAUGAAUCCUCUUCUCUGCAGACUGCUUGAAGACGGUGAGCCUGAUGUGACGACGGAGGUAGCAUGGGUACUUUAUAAGAAGUUCAUGAACUUGUCUUGGACAUGGAAGGAAAUCUGGCUGCAUAAAAUGAUAUUUAGUUUGGAUUUUUUUAGCAAGUCUACGGAGUUCAUUAGAAUAGUGAACAAGUGUUGUGGGAGGUUAGUAGUACAGAGUUCUGGGGGACAGAAUUAUUAAAGCAAAACUUAAAAUUUUACCCACUCUGGACCAUAAGCUUAUUGCAAUCAAGUAUCAACAUACAAAAAACAUGCACAAGAAAAUGUGAAUGACAUGGAUAAAAUAAUAGCAUCUUUAAACAAUGAAGAGAUCAUCCAAUCCACAAAAGGAGAGUAGCAUUUUCCUCAACAACAACAAAAAAAAACUUUCAUACUAUAACCAUACUUUUAUCAAACGGUGAGAAAAACAAGUGGUAGGUGAAUCGGGUAGGUGAAUUGGGGGUUAUGCAAAAAAUCUUAUUUUCACGGAGAAAAGCAUUCCAACACCAAAGCUUUCACUAUCUUUACCACACACUUCAAGUUCUCUGAUCCGCUCUGCAUUUUUUGUCACAGUACAAAAAUACAUCGUUUAGUCCUCAUCUUUUAAGUAAGUACUAUGCUUAAAAUUCAUUCUCAUUACAAUAAACACAAAUGGAGAAAAUGGAUUAAUCGAAGUAUCCUGCACCCUAAUUUUCUUAGAACCCUAAUUUUCGCUCUCCGCGCGAUUGUGCAAGAUAAACCUCUUUUGGACCAAAAUGAUUUAUAGGAUUACAUGUCAGAUAUCAGUGUUUUAAUUUUAAUUUCUUGUUUUUGUCAUGUCGGCAUUGACUAAAAUCGUUAGUUCCCUUUUAACGGGAGGAUGUGAAUCAGAAAAAUUCGAAAAUUUAAAGAUCACGUUAUUGGGAGAAAAAAAGAAAUAGGGGCCUGAAUAAUAUAUAAGCAGUUCAAGGACGUCUGAAUUUAUGAUCCCAUCUAUAAACAGCAGUAGGAAUAAAGGCUUUUGUCUUAAAGUUGUUAUCUUGUACUAUGUCAUGAUGAUCACGCCCCUUGUUGUUUCUAUACCAAUCUAUGCUUAAGUUUUGUUGUUUCAAUUUGUUUAUCUCGUUCAACUAAGAACAAAUUAUGAAAGCGGAGCUAAUAAUUAUCCCCGCUCCGGGGGCUGGUCACCUGCUAUCCAUGGUUGAGCUCGCCAAGCUCAUUGCUAGUCGAGAUGAGCGAAUUUCUGUGAGCGUCCUGAUAAUCAGGCUCCCUUUUGAGUCCAGCAUCGAUGGUUUCGACAAAGAUGCUCCUGGAAACUUAGCCUUUCUAGA
RNAcentral lists this long non-coding RNA (3453 nucleotides) under Daucus carota (carrot). RNAcentral describes it as "long non-coding RNA (DCAR_LNC004407)". Lineage: Eukaryota; Viridiplantae; Streptophyta; Magnoliopsida; Apiales; Apiaceae. The record is from RNAcentral.